UGGGGAAUAUUGGGCAAUGGGCGAAAGCCUGACCCAGCAACGCCGCGUGAAGUAUGAAGGCCUUCGGGUUGUAAACUUCUUUGAUCAGGGAAGAAACAAAUGACGGUACCUGAAAAACAAGCCACGGCUAACUACGUGCCAGCAGCCGCGGUAAUACGUAGGGGGCUAGCGUUAUCCGGAUUUACUGGGCGUAAAGGGUGCGUAGGUGGUCUUUCAAGUCGGUGGUUAAAGGCUACGGCUCAACCGUAGUUAGCCUCCGAAACUGGAAGACUUGAGUGCAGGAGAGGAAAGUGGAAUUCCCAGUGUAGCGGUGAAAUGCGUAGAUAUUGGGAGGAACACCAGUAGCGAAGGCGGCUUUCUGGACUGCAACUGACACUGAGGCACGAAAGCGUGGGUAGCAAACAGG
RNAcentral lists this ribosomal RNA (406 nucleotides) under Verrucomicrobiota bacterium. RNAcentral's name for it is "Verrucomicrobia bacterium partial 16S ribosomal RNA". It matches the Rfam family "Bacterial small subunit ribosomal RNA", at positions 355 to 776 of the family's 1533-position model. The record is from RNAcentral. Lineage: Bacteria; Pseudomonadati; Verrucomicrobiota.